RNAcentral lists this ribosomal RNA (760 nucleotides) under Entrophospora claroidea. RNAcentral describes it as "partial 28S large subunit ribosomal RNA". It matches the Rfam family "Eukaryotic large subunit ribosomal RNA", at positions 38 to 648 of the family's 3401-position model. Lineage: Eukaryota; Fungi; Glomeromycota; Glomeromycetes; Entrophosporales; Entrophosporaceae. The record is from RNAcentral.
GCAUAUCAAUAAGCGGAGGAAAAGAAACUAACAAGGAUUCCCCUAGUAACGGCGAGUGAAGAGGGAAGAGCUCAAAUUUUAAAUCUGCCUUGUUUUCAAGGUCGAGUUGUAAUUUGAAGAAGCGUUUUCUUGGGCUCGCGGCCGGUAGAAGUUCUUUGGAACAGGACAUCAUAGAGGGUGACAAUCCCGUCUGCGACCGGUCGUGCGUUCAUCUACGAUACGCUUUCAAAGAGUCGAGUUGUUUGGGAUUGCAGCUCCAAAUGGGUGGUAAACAUCACCUAAGGCUAAAUAUUGGCGAGAGACCGAUAGCGAACAAGUACCGUGAGGGAAAGAUGAAAAGAACUUUGAAAAGAGAGUUAAACAGUACGUGAAAUUGUUGAAAGGGAAACGAUUGAAGUCAGUCGUGCUGGCGCGAAAUCAACCCUCUCGUCGAGAGGUCACAUGGCGUGGCGAGCCUCAAAACCGUCACGAAGCGUGAACUCUUGGCGAAAAGGAGCACUUUCGUGUCCGCUGGUUAACAUCAAUUUCGAACGUCAUAAAAAGGCUGGAGGGAUGUGGCUCCUUCGGGAGUGUUAUAACCUUUAGCGGAAUGUGGUGGUCGGGAUUGAGGAUUGCAACGAAUACCUUUAGGGCUGUUCCACCUGGCUUCUCUUUGGUAUCCUGGUGACGACAGCUUGCUGACGUCGUUAGGAUUCGCCUUUGAACAGGCUAGAGUGUGAGCAAAUUCGUUAAGGAUGUUGACGUAAUGGCUUUAAACGAC